This 2888-nucleotide ribosomal RNA is filed under the name Shigella sonnei. RNAcentral describes it as "bacterial LSU rRNA". It matches the Rfam family "Bacterial large subunit ribosomal RNA". The record is from RNAcentral. Lineage: Bacteria; Pseudomonadati; Pseudomonadota; Gammaproteobacteria; Enterobacterales; Enterobacteriaceae.
GUACACGGUGGAUGCCCUGGCAGUCAGAGGCGAUGAAGGACGUGCUAAUCUGCGAUAAGCGUCGGUAAGGUGAUAUGAACCGUUAUAACCGGCGAUUUCCGAAUGGGGAAACCCAGUGUGAUUCGUCACACUAUCAUUAACUGAAUCCAUAGGUUAAUGAGGCGAACCGGGGGAACUGAAACAUCUAAGUACCCCGAGGAAAAGAAAUCAACCGAGAUUCCCCCAGUAGCGGCGAGCGAACGGGGAGCAGCCCAGAGCCUGAAUCAGUGUGUGUGUUAGUGGAAGCGUCUGGAAAGGCGCGCGAUACAGGGUGACAGCCCCGUACACAAAAAUACACAUAUUGUGAGCUCGAUGAGUAGGGCGGGACACGUGGUAUCCUGUCUGAAUAUGGGGGGACCAUCCUCCAAGGCUAAAUACUCCUGACUGACCGAUAGUGAACCAGUACCGUGAGGGAAAGGCGAAAAGAACCCCGGCGAGGGGAGUGAAAAAGAACCUGAAACCGUGUACGUACAAGCAGUGGGAGCACGCUUAGGCGUGUGACUGCGUACCUUUUGUAUAAUGGGUCAGCGACUUAUAUUCUGUAGCAAGGUUAACCGAAUAGGGGAGCCGAAGGGAAACCGAGUCUUAACUGGGCGUUAAGUUGCAGGGUAUAGACCCGAAACCCGGUGAUCUAGCCAUGGGCAGGUUGAAGGUUGGGUAACACUAACUGGAGGACCGAACCGACUAAUGUUGAAAAAUUAGCGGAUGACUUGUGGCUGGGGGUGAAAGGCCAAUCAAACCGGGAGAUAGCUGGUUCUCCCCGAAAGCUAUUUAGGUAGCGCCUCGUGAAUUCAUCUCCGGGGGUAGAGCACUGUUUCGGCAAGGGGGUCAUCCCGACUUACCAACCCGAUGCAAACUGCGAAUACCGGAGAAUGUUAUCACGGGAGACACACGGCGGGUGCUAACGUCCGUCGUGAAGAGGGAAACAACCCAGACCGCCAGCUAAGGUCCCAAAGUCAUGGUUAAGUGGGAAACGAUGUGGGAAGGCCCAGACAGCCAGGAUGUUGGCUUAGAAGCAGCCAUCAUUUAAAGAAAGCGUAAUAGCUCACUGGUCGAGUCGGCCUGCGCGGAAGAUGUAACGGGGCUAAACCAUGCACCGAAGCUGCGGCAGCGACGCUUAUGCGUUGUUGGGUAGGGGAGCGUUCUGUAAGCCUGCGAAGGUGUGCUGUGAGGCAUGCUGGAGGUAUCAGAAGUGCGAAUGCUGACAUAAGUAACGAUAAAGCGGGUGAAAAGCCCGCUCGCCGGAAGACCAAGGGUUCCUGUCCAACGUUAAUCGGGGCAGGGUGAGUCGACCCCUAAGGCGAGGCCGAAAGGCGUAGUCGAUGGGAAACAGGUUAAUAUUCCUGUACUUGGUGUUACUGCGAAGGGGGGACGGAGAAGGCUAUGUUGGCCGGGCGACGGUUGUCCCGGUUUAAGCGUGUAGGCUGGUUUUCCAGGCAAAUCCGGAAAAUCAAGGCUGAGGCGUGAUGACGAGGCACUACGGUGCUGAAGCAACAAAUGCCCUGCUUCCAGGAAAAGCCUCUAAGCAUCAGGUAACAUCAAAUCGUACCCCAAACCGACACAGGUGGUCAGGUAGAGAAUACCAAGGCGCUUGAGAGAACUCGGGUGAAGGAACUAGGCAAAAUGGUGCCGUAACUUCGGGAGAAGGCACGCUGAUAUGUAGGUGAAGUCCCUUGCGGAUGGAGCUGAAAUCAGUCGAAGAUACCAGCUGGCUGCAACUGUUUAUUAAAAACACAGCACUGUGCAAACACGAAAGUGGACGUAUACGGUGUGACGCCUGCCCGGUGCCGGAAGGUUAAUUGAUGGGGUCAGCGCAAGCGAAGCUCUUGAUCGAAGCCCCGGUAAACGGCGGCCGUAACUAUAACGGUCCUAAGGUAGCGAAAUUCCUUGUCGGGUAAGUUCCGACCUGCACGAAUGGCGUAAUGAUGGCCAGGCUGUCUCCACCCGAGACUCAGUGAAAUUGAACUCGCUGUGAAGAUGCAGUGUACCCGCGGCAAGACGGAAAGACCCCGUGAACCUUUACUAUAGCUUGACACUGAACAUUGAGCCUUGAUGUGUAGGAUAGGUGGGAGGCUUUGAAGUGUGGACGCCAGUCUGCAUGGAGCCGGCCUUGAAAUACCACCCUUUAAUGUUUGAUGUUCUAACGUGGACCCGUGAUCCGGGUUGCGGACAGUGUCUGGUGGGUAGUUUGACUGGGGCGGUCUCCUCCUAAAGAGUAACGGAGGAGCACGAAGGUUGGCUAAUCCUGGUCGGACAUCAGGAGGUUAGUGCAAUGGCAUAAGCCAGCUUGACUGCGAGCGUGACGGCGCGAGCAGGUGCGAAAGCAGGUCAUAGUGAUCCGGUGGUUCUGAAUGGAAGGGCCAUCGCUCAACGGAUAAAAGGUACUCCGGGGAUAACAGGCUGAUACCGCCCAAGAGUUCAUAUCGACGGCGGUGUUUGGCACCUCGAUGUCGGCUCAUCACAUCCUGGGGCUGAAGUAGGUCCCAAGGGUAUGGCUGUUCGCCAUUUAAAGUGGUACGCGAGCUGGGUUUAGAACGUCGUGAGACAGUUCGGUCCCUAUCUGCCGUGGGCGCUGGAGAACUGAGGGGGGCUGCUCCUAGUACGAGAGGACCGGAGUGGACGCAUCACUGGUGUUCGGGUUGUCAUGCCAAUGGCACUGCCCGGUAGCUAAAUGCGGAAGAGAUAAGUGCUGAAAGCAUCUAAGCACGAAACUUGCCCCGAGAUGAGUUCUCCCUGACCCUUUAAGGGUCCUGAAGGAACGUUGAAGACGACGACGUUGAUAGGCCGGGUGUGUAAGCGCAGCGAUGCGUUGAGCUAACCGGUACUAAUGAACCGUGAGGCUUAACCUU